RNAcentral lists this ribosomal RNA (120 nucleotides) under Pseudogymnoascus sp. VKM F-4515 (FW-2607). The record is from RNAcentral. Lineage: Eukaryota; Fungi; Ascomycota; Leotiomycetes; Thelebolales; Thelebolaceae.
ACAUACGACCAUCGACUCAAGAGAAUUGGGCAUCCCGUCCGCUCUGCCAUACACAAGCUUGAGAUCGGUGGAUUAGUAGUUGGGUGGGUGACCACCAGCGAAUACCCACUGUUGUAUGUA